Molecule: ribosomal RNA, 254 nt
Filed under: uncultured bacterium
Lineage: Bacteria
Description: partial 16S ribosomal RNA
Rfam family: Bacterial small subunit ribosomal RNA
Source: RNAcentral
UACGUAGGGGGCAAGCGUUGUCCGGAUUUAUUGGGCGUAAAGAGCUCGUAGGUGGUUCGGUAAGUCGGAUGUGAAAUCUCCAGGCUCAACCUGGAGGGGUCAUUCGAUACUGCCGUGACUAGAGGUCGGUAGGGGAGUGUGGAAUUCCUGGUGGAGCGGUGAAAAGCGCAGAUAUCAGGAGGAACACCCGUAGCGAAGGCGGCACUCUGGGCCGAUACUGACACUGAGGAGCGAAAGCGUGGGGAGCGAACAGG